CACAAAAUUCCGGUGUCCCUCAGCCCAGAUUGUGAGAGGGUGCAGGCCAGGCUGAGGGAUCCCACCAGUGCACG
RNAcentral lists this microRNA precursor (74 nucleotides) under Myotis lucifugus (little brown bat). RNAcentral's name for it is "mir-9193 microRNA precursor family". It matches the Rfam family "mir-9193 microRNA precursor family". The record is from Rfam by way of RNAcentral. Lineage: Eukaryota; Metazoa; Chordata; Mammalia; Chiroptera; Vespertilionidae.